AUUGAACGCUGGCGGAAUGCUUUACACAUGCAAGUCGAACGGCAGCACGGGGGCAGCCCUGGUGGCGAGUGGCGAACGGGUGAGUAAUACAUCGGAACGUGCCCGGUCGUGGGGGAUAAAGUAGCGAAAGGUACGCUAAUACAGCAUACGAUCUGAGGAUGAAAGCGGGGGACCUUUGGGCAUAGCGCGAUUGGAGCGGCCGAUGUCAGAUUAGGUAGUUGGUGGGGUAAAGGCCUACCAAGCCGACGAUCUGUAGCUGGUCUGAGAGGACGACCAGCCACACUGGGACUGAGACACGGCCCAGACUCCUACGGGAGGCAGCAGUGGGGAAUUUUGGACAAUGGGCGCAAGCCUGAUCCAGCCAUUCCGCGUGCAGGACGAAGGCCUUCGGGUUGUAAACUGCUUUUGUACGGAACGAAAAGGCUCUGGCUAAUACCUGGGGCUCAUGACGGUACCGUAAGAAUAAGCACCGGCUAACUACGUG
RNAcentral lists this ribosomal RNA (484 nucleotides) under uncultured bacterium. RNAcentral's name for it is "partial 16S ribosomal RNA". It matches the Rfam family "Bacterial small subunit ribosomal RNA", at positions 30 to 507 of the family's 1533-position model. The record is from RNAcentral.